GAAGAAAGAGGGAGGCGUGCUUAACACAUGCAAGUCGAACGGUGAACCUCUUCGGAGGGGAUCAGUGGCGAACGGGUGAGUAACACGUGGGCAACCUGCCCCCGGCUCUGGGAUAACUCCAAGAAAUUGGGGCUAAUACCGGAUGUUCACCGCUUCCCGCAUGGGUGGUGGUGGAAAGGGUUUCCGGCUGGGGAUGGGCCCGCGGCCUAUCAGCUUGUUGGUGGGGUAGUGGCCUACCAAGGCGACGACGGGUAGCCGGCCUGAGAGGGUGACCGGCCACACUGGGACUGAGACACGGCCCAGACUCCUACGGGAGGCAGCAGUGGGGAAUAUUGCGCAAUGGGCGGAAGCCUGACGCAGCGACGCCGCGUGGGGGAUGACGGCCUUCGGGUUGUAAACCUCUUUCAGCAGGGACGAAGCGCAAGUGACGGUACCUGCAGAAGAAGCACCGGCCAACUACGUG
Molecule: ribosomal RNA, 463 nt
Filed under: uncultured bacterium
Lineage: Bacteria
Description: partial 16S ribosomal RNA
Rfam family: Bacterial small subunit ribosomal RNA
Source: RNAcentral